RNAcentral lists this ribosomal RNA (253 nucleotides) under uncultured bacterium. RNAcentral describes it as "partial 16S ribosomal RNA". It matches the Rfam family "Bacterial small subunit ribosomal RNA", at positions 524 to 776 of the family's 1533-position model. The record is from RNAcentral.
UACGAAGGGGGCUAGCGUUGUUCGGAAUUACUGGGCGUAAAGCGCGCGCAGGCGGUUUCUCAAGUCAGUGGUGAAAGCCCGGAGCUCAACUCCGGAACUGCCAUUGAAACUGUGAGACUUGAGGACGAGAGAGGUGAGUGGAAUUCCCAGUGUAGAGGUGAAAUUCGUAGAUAUUGGGAAGAACACCGGUGGCGAAGGCGGCCCACUGGUCCGGUACUGACGCUGAGGUGCGAAAGCGUGGGGAGCAAACAGG